GCACUAUUUUUUUAAAUUUUAAAUGAUGUUCAAUUUAUUUUUCGUCGCUGAGUCUUUUGAUGCCAAAAACACUGUCUGAUAAAAGAUUUAUGCAUUUUUUAUUUUUAAAUUAAAUCAUUUUCAGUUUGGUAACCACGUUUUUUUUUCUUUUUGAUUUGCAGAUCAAACUUGAUACUUAAGAAAUCCAGACAAUAAAUUCAAAUGGAACAGAAUGCAUCAACACACUAGGUAAGUGAAAAACGUUUUAUAUAAAGUAUUCCUAUUUGUAUCAAUCUAAUAUUCACAUAAAAUGUAGUUGCUUAAAAUAGACUAGGUAUGAUGGAGUUUAUUAAAAUGUGGAUCAGUCAAAAUACUUGAAAAGCAAGGGUUCUGAUAUUUCAGAUAGAAAAGGGAUAGAAUCUAGCUUUUUUUCUUCUCAGUUUUUCAAAGCCAGAAUUUCGGACUCUUAUGAAAUUGAAUAUUUUUUCCUGAUGCUCGGUUAUAGCGAUCAGGAAGACUUAAGUCAGUUGAUUCACAUAAAAUCUACCUACUCUCUUCUUUUCUUGAUUGAAAUACACACGAAAAAUGUUGUCCUAUGCGAUGGAACAGGAAAAAUAUAAAACACUUGAGGGGAACGAUUUGUUUCAUUUUGUGUGAAAUGUCAAUCAGCUGGCACGAAAAAUGAAUUUGCGUCAGGAAAACAGAUACAAUUUUAACAAAAUAUAAUUGUUCCAUUGUAAAUAUUCUAUUCGAAAAAAAUUCUUUGAGUCAUUUAUAAUCGAUUGGUAUAGCAUCUAAGCCAAAUCUUAGUUUCUUUUUUAGUGGAAAUAUUAUAUGAGCUAUUACCAAAGAUCAUAUAACUAGUUAUAUGAUCUUUGCUAUUACCUUCAUGUUGUUACCCCUUUUCACCACUUGACUGUCUUAAAAACGGAAAUAAAGAUGUUCAACGAUGAAUUUCAAUGAUUGUUAUAACUGGCCCCUAAACAACAAGUUCAGGGUUCUGAGAUUUCGGAGAGAAACUGGAUAAAAUAUAACAUUUUUUCUCCACAGUUUUUCAACUGGACUCUUAUUACUGAGACUGCUGAUUGCUUAGAUGCUUACAAUUUUCACAUUCCAUCAUGUGUGAUUUUUUGUUCAAAUACAGAGAUCAGGAAAUCAAAAGAAUUGUAUUUUGUUUAUGAAUUUACAUAACCAGUUCCUGGUUGCUAAACCUUUACUUUUUUUUGUAAUUUCGUCUUUCAAAUGACUGCUUUAAAUUUCAAAAUAAAUCUUUCCAGUCAGUUUGUCUCAAAGGAUAACCUUUAAUUCCAAGUAAAAAUCUAUCUAGGAGAGCAUCAUUCAUAAUGCAUGGCAGCCAUACAGCACGUGUUUGCUAAUUCUCUUUAGAAAAACGUGGUUGCUGGAUGUUUUGUUAAGCAUUCCUCACAGCCAGAUACGAGCUCAAGGACAGUUUUUUUUCGACCAAAAUACCAAAAAUUCCAUUAACAUUGCAAUCAGUUUUCUCCCUCUCUCACUUUUCCAUUUCUAUGUCCUUUGUUUUCAUGAAUUUUUUUUUAUAAUCAUCCAAGGACAGUCCUUGCAUUGUUCGAGCGACUACCUUACCAUCGUAAGAUAUAUAAAAUAGGAGACGCAGCUGGCGAUGAGCACAGUUAGUUUUGAAUCUUCGGUAGGUUUAGGUGCAUGUUACAGAAACAAAUUCAAAAGUCGCAAAAUUGUUUCCAGCAUCCAAAUAAAAAAAUGAACAGACUCAUUUUUAUAAAAGAUUUCUUCAAAAUGAUGUUAACAAGAAGAAAAAAACUAUUUAUUCCAAGAUUCUUUGAGAAUGAGCUUAUCAUAGACAAUUAAAUUAUUCAAAGUUUUCGAUGAUCUAAAAUUUUGUAUAAAAGGUUGGCCGAUGGGAAUUAAAGCCUUCUGAUUCCUUGAUCAUAAGCGGAUGAAGAUAUUUUUUAUUUCAAGGAAAAAUCGAAAUCAAAAUGGCAGCUUGUAAUGUUGUUGGACUUUACGAAAACAAAUUUUCCCGGAAUUUCCUAGACAAUUUAAAUGUUAACAAUUCCAAUUACGGAAGAAACACAUCAGGAACCCAAUAUGCUAACUGAAAUUUGCCGGACAUAUCCUUGAUGCAAAUGUUAACGUAUUCUAAUAACGGAGGAAACACAUCAAGGAACUCAAUAAUGCUUAAUGAAUUUGCCGCACGUGUUGCCUUGAUGCAAAUGUAAAGACAUUCUGUUAGAAAUGGAGGAAAGAGCAAACCAAAGAAGAAAAUCAAUUUGAAUCAAGAGCGAUGUCUAUUCUAUGAAAACGGUUCGACUGGAAGGAACUAAUUGAAAUUGAUGUAAGUUGAUUUUUUGAACUAAUUAAUUUAAAUUUUUUGUUUUUCAAAACUACAAAAAGUUUCAAAAGUUCAUGAAUUCAAUCCUUUUCACGAAAUUCCAUUGUAAUCAAAAUUUUGGUAGAAUUCUCUUAUAAAAAACAUAAAAGCCUUCCGAGUGAAAAAGUUUGCUCAAAUUUUUUUUGUUGGGACUCAACAACAAGCAACUAUUACAAUGGAAUUCUAGAAAAAGGAAGAAUAGAAUUCUGCUCUGUCUGUUUUGUUUUUAUUUAAAUGAUGACACACAUUACCCAGCUCGCUUUGACCAAGCCAUGAAGAGAACUUGUUCUAAAACAACGCAAAAAUAAACUGCUGAUUAAAAAUAAAAACAAUUCUUUUAAUUAAAAUCCAAUCUAUGUAUUAACCAAUCAAAUCUAAUGCAAGAUUUCUGUUUUUUUCCAGGGCAAUGUCUUUUUCUCGGGAAACACGGUUCGACUUAAAUAGAAGUGACGAAAUUCAAAUUAGUGUUGAUGGCUCAUUCUUUGGAAACUGUUCGACUUACAUAAGUGAAGGAAAUGACUUGAAAUUGAUAAAAAUGGGAAACUUGAUUAGCUCUCUUUUGCACUUCACUGGCGCUGUUAUCAACGCUAGGUCUCUCUUGAAGUAGUUGCACUUAAAAUUGAGU
This is a long non-coding RNA of Episyrphus balteatus (marmalade hoverfly), 2972 nucleotides long. RefSeq lists it as uncharacterized. The record is from RefSeq and is a predicted model, not a curated record. NCBI's taxonomy places the organism in Eukaryota, Metazoa, Arthropoda, Insecta, Diptera, Syrphidae. The transcript has 14 exons.